UACGGAGGAUGCAAGCGUUAUCCGGAAUUAUUGGGCGUAAAGCGUCCGCAGGUGGCUGUGUAAGUCUGCUGUUAAAGAGUGAGGCUCAACCUCAUAAAGGCAGUGGAAACUACACGGCUAGAGUGCGUUCGGGGCAGAGGGAAUUCCUGGUGUAGCGGUGAAAUGCGUAGAGAUCAGGAAGAACACCGGUGGCGAAAGCGCUCUGCUAGGCCGCAACUGACACUGAGGGACGAAAGCUAGGGGAGCGAAUGGG
This 253-nucleotide ribosomal RNA is filed under the name uncultured bacterium. RNAcentral's name for it is "partial 16S ribosomal RNA". It matches the Rfam family "Bacterial small subunit ribosomal RNA", at positions 524 to 776 of the family's 1533-position model. The record is from RNAcentral.